Molecule: non-coding RNA, 104 nt
Organism: Capsicum annuum
Lineage: Eukaryota; Viridiplantae; Streptophyta; Magnoliopsida; Solanales; Solanaceae
Source: Rfam
UUGAUGAACAUUUAUAUCAAAGUUUGUUACCUCUGUAUAGACAUGAUUAGCAUGGCCCCUGCGCAAGGAUGAUACAGAAAAAUCGAGAAAUGGUAUAGACUUAA